RNAcentral lists this ribosomal RNA (253 nucleotides) under uncultured bacterium. Its description in RNAcentral is "partial 16S ribosomal RNA". It matches the Rfam family "Bacterial small subunit ribosomal RNA", at positions 524 to 776 of the family's 1533-position model. The record is from RNAcentral.
UACGUAGGGGGCAAGCGUUGUCCGGAAUUAUUGGGCGUAAAGAGCGCGUAGGCGGUCCGGUAAGUCGGUUGUGAAAGUCGGGGGCUCAACCCUCGGAUGCCGAUCGAUACUGUCGGGCUAGAGUCCGGAAGAGGCGAGUGGAAUUCCUGGUGUAGCGGUGAAAUGCGCAGAUAUCGGGAGGAACACCUAUGGCGAAGGCAGCUCGCUGGGACGUUACUGACGCUGAGACGCGAAAGCGUGGGGAGCAAACAGG